Long non-coding RNA from Dama dama (fallow deer), 406 nucleotides. RefSeq lists it as uncharacterized. The record is from RefSeq and is a predicted model, not a curated record. The transcript has 3 exons. NCBI's taxonomy places the organism in Eukaryota, Metazoa, Chordata, Mammalia, Artiodactyla, Cervidae.
AAAACAGAGAACUUGUUUUGUUAUAAAAGAUGAUUGCUUUUCUGUCCUGUCCUAUUCAGCAAGAUAAGGACUGCCAUAAUUCCAUGAAGAACAGAGAAACUACUGAAAUGACAGAAUCCUAAGAAUUGAAACGUACAUUAGGCCCACCCUGACUCCGGUCCUUUCCAAACUGUGUGUGAAAAAGAAACGCUCACGUGAAUCCUGAAAGCUCGUGAGGCAGAAGCCAGAGGCUCCGAGGUGGACGGUGGACGGGCGCAGGGAGGCCGUGAACUCCCGGGCUCCGCAGUGAAUUAUCACUAUGAAGGAAAAGUAAAUCGUGAGCGCAGGCACAGGAUGUCUCUGGGAAGACCAAUGAAAGGCACAAUGGCUGCUUCCUGGAGAGGAGCUGAACCCUGAGGGAUAGAAG